Molecule: ribosomal RNA, 492 nt
Filed under: uncultured bacterium
Lineage: Bacteria
Description: partial 16S ribosomal RNA
Rfam family: Bacterial small subunit ribosomal RNA
Source: RNAcentral
AGUGAACGCUGGCGGUAGGCCUAACACAUGCAAGUCGAACGGCAGCACAGUAAGAGCUUGCUCUUACGGGUGGCGAGUGGCGGACGGGUGAGGAAUACAUCGGAAUCUACUUUUUCGUGGGGGAUAACGUAGGGAAACUUACGCUAAUACCGCAUACGACCUACGGGUGAAAGCAGGGGAUCUUCGGACCUUGCGCGAUUGAAUGAGCCGAUGUCGGAUUAGCUAGUUGGCGGGGUAAAGGCCCACCAAGGCGACGAUCCGUAGCUGGUCUGAGAGGAUGAUCAGCCACACUGGAGCUGAGACACGGUCCAGACUCCUACGGGAGGCAGCAGUGGGGAAUAUUGGACAAUGGGUGCAAGCCUGAUCCAGCCAUACCGCGUGGGUGAAGAAGGCCUUCGGGUUGUAAAGCCCUUUUGUUGGGAAAGAAAAGCAGCAGGUUAAUACCCCGCUGUUCUGACGGUACCCAAAGAAUAAGCACCGGCUAACUUCGUG